Molecule: long non-coding RNA, 1017 nt
Organism: Capsicum annuum
Lineage: Eukaryota; Viridiplantae; Streptophyta; Magnoliopsida; Solanales; Solanaceae
Exons: 2
Source: RefSeq, a predicted model, not a curated record
CCUCCUCAUCACUUCCGCAAAAUCUAAGAGGGGAUUUCCUCGGAGAGGAUUGUAUAUACUCAUUUCUGCAAGUUCUCUCAUUGGUGAAUUACAGAAAUUGGGUACUUUUAUCACUUUCGCAAAAUCUCAUCCGUGCGUCACUUCUGUAAAAUCGAAGAGGCGAUUUCUGUAAGUUCUCUUCGUAGUCAUUUCAUCCAUUUCUAAUUGAGCUUAAAGCUUUUAUCAUUUUGCCUCUGAGAAAUCUGCCAUUUAUUUGCUGGCUGGCUGACUGUUUUUCUUUUUAAGCUUUUAUCAUUUUGCCUCUGAGAAAUCUGCCAUUUAUUUGCCUCAAGGCAAUGAAAUUCAGUGCCCAUGUGAUAGGUGUUGUAAUGUCCGUUGGACUCAAAGGGAUGUAGUGUAUAAUCGAUCGUGGAUUUGUUGAAGGUUAUAAAAGAUAGAUCAAUCACGGGGAAUGGAAAAUCCAUUUGAAUCAUCAAACUGCUGAUGCAUUCACGACAGCAUUUGGAAAGGAGAAGCCUGCUUGAAUUAAAGGCUAUGGUAGAUCAGUCACAACAACUUCUCUGAAAAAAAUGAGGAAAUGAAUGAGCUUAAACAAAAGCAUGCUAAAGAAGUCACUUCUAUGAAGGAAGAAAUUAUAAGUGAAAUGAGUGAAGAAAUGCGACAGUUUUUUAGUCAAUUGGUGCAAAAAUAAUCCUAGAUUGAAUUUUUAAGAUAUACCAGGGAGUGAUGGAUCUAACAUUCCUUCACCUGAUGCAAGUAAUGCACAGGCUAUAAGAGAAAAAAAUCUUUCAAAUUUAUCCAGCUCAGCUCAUGCUUCGAUUUCUGAAAAGGAUCAAUGCGGGGGAUCAAAUUGGAAUGGUGGGCGCCACAACUCAACUUGAUCUAGAUUAAAGUGAAUGAUGAAGAAUUUUUGAAAUAUUUUGAUAUACGUUUAUAUACAUUUGGUUUUGUGUGGAACUUGGUACAAAUUUUUAUUAUGUUGUUUUCUAAUUAGUAUGUAAGAGACGUGUCUUUUUG